RNAcentral lists this ribosomal RNA (293 nucleotides) under uncultured bacterium. Its description in RNAcentral is "partial 16S ribosomal RNA". It matches the Rfam family "Archaeal small subunit ribosomal RNA", at positions 455 to 747 of the family's 1478-position model. The record is from RNAcentral.
GUGCCAGCCGCCGCGGUAAUACCGGCAGCCCAAGUGAUGGCCGCUGUUAUUGGGCCUAAAGCGUCCGUAGCUGGCUGCGCAAGUCCGUCGGGAAAUCCACUCGCCCAACGAGUGGGCGUCCGACGGAAACUGCACAGCUUGGGACCGGAAGGCUCGAAGGGUACGUUCGGGGUAGGGGUGAAAUCCCAUAAUCCCGCACGGACCACCGAUGGCGAAAGCAUCUCGAGAAAACGGAUCCGACAGUGAGGGACGAAAGCUAGGGUCUCGAACCGGAUUAGAUACCCUGGUAGUCC